Molecule: ribosomal RNA, 449 nt
Filed under: uncultured bacterium
Lineage: Bacteria
Description: SSU rRNA
Rfam family: Bacterial small subunit ribosomal RNA
Source: RNAcentral
AGAACGAACGCUGGCGGCAGGCUUAACACAUGCAAGUCGAACGGGCGUGAGCAAUCACGCCAGUGGCAGACGGGUGAGUAACGCGUGGGAACAUACCCUCCGGUUCGGAAUAGCUCAGGGAAACUUGGAUUAAUACCGGAUACGGCCGUGAGGCGAAAGAUUUAUCGCCGGAGGAUUGGCCCGCGUUCGAUUAGCUUGUUGGUGAGGUAACGGCUCACCAAGGCGAUGAUCGAUAGCUGGUCUGAGAGGAUGAUCAGCCACAUUGGGACUGAGACACGGCCCAAACUCCUACGGGAGGCAGCAGUGGGGAAUAUUGGACAAUGGGCGCAAGCCUGAUCCAGCCAUGCCGCGUGAGUGAUGAAGGCCUUAGGGUUGUAAAGCUCUUUCGCUCGGGACGAUAAUGACGGUACCGAGAUAAGAAGCCCCGGCUAACUUCGUGCCAGCAGCCG